RNAcentral lists this ribosomal RNA (497 nucleotides) under uncultured bacterium. RNAcentral describes it as "partial 16S ribosomal RNA". It matches the Rfam family "Bacterial small subunit ribosomal RNA", at positions 28 to 507 of the family's 1533-position model. The record is from RNAcentral.
GAUGAACGCUGGCGGCGUGCCUAAUACAUGCAAGUCGAGCGAACGGACGAGAAGCUUGCUUCUCUGAUGUUAGCGGCGGACGGGUGAGUAACACGUGGAUAACCUACCUAUAAGACUGGGAUAACUUCGGGAAACCGGAGCUAAUACCGGAUAAUAUUUUGAACCGCAUGGUUCAAAAGUGAAAGACGGUCUUGCUGUCACUUAUAGAUGGAUCCGCGCUGCAUUAGCUAGUUGGUAAGGUAACGGCUUACCAAGGCAACGAUGCAUAGCCGACCUGAGAGGGUGAUCGGCCACACGGGAACUGAGACAGGGUCCAGACACCGACAGGGGGCAGCAGUAGGGAAUCUUCCGCAAUGGGCGAAAGCCUGACGGAGCAACGCCGCGGGAGGGAUGAAGGUCUUCGGAUCGUAAAACUCUGUUAUUAGGGAAGAACAAAUGUGUAAGUAACUGUGCACAUCUUGACGGUACCUAAUCAGAAAGCCACGGCUAACUCCGUG